CUAAUUUCUUGUCUUUAAUUAACUAGAAAGUUGACAAAGAAUAUAUAUCUCCGUCAUGCACAUUUGUCUAAUCCAAUAGAAAAAGUCAUGAGUUGCAAAUAAGUAGUCUCAAGUUCGAAUUCAUAUGACACUUUAUUAGUGUAUGUGUAUGAACCUUCCACUAUCCCUUAUAGUUUCGACAGUCAUUUGUGUUUAAAAAAAUGGCAUUUGUAAAUGAAUUAUAGUUCAAC
Molecule: long non-coding RNA, 230 nt
Filed under: Prunus persica (peach)
Lineage: Eukaryota; Viridiplantae; Streptophyta; Magnoliopsida; Rosales; Rosaceae
Description: long non-coding RNA (PPER_LNC006814)
Source: RNAcentral